Molecule: ribosomal RNA, 468 nt
Filed under: uncultured bacterium
Lineage: Bacteria
Description: partial 16S ribosomal RNA
Rfam family: Bacterial small subunit ribosomal RNA
Source: RNAcentral
GACGAACGCUGGCGGCGUGCUUAACACAUGCAAGUCGAACGGAAAGGCCCUGCUUUUGUGGGGUGCCCGAGUGGCGAACGGGUGAGUAACACGUGAGUAACCUGCCCCUGUCUUUGGGAUAACUUCAGGAAACUGGGGCUAAUACCGGAUAGGAGCUCCUGCUGCAUGGUGGGGGUUGGAAAGUUUCGGCGGUUGGGGAUGGACUCGCGGCUUAUCAGCUUGUUGGUGGGGUAGUGGCUUACCAAGGCUUUGACGGGUAGCCGGCCUGAGAGGGUGACCGGCCACAUUGGGACUGAGAGACGGCCCAGACUCCUACGGGAGGCAGCAGGGGGGAAUAUUGCACAAUGGGCGGAAGCCUGAUGCAGCAACGCCGCGUGCGGGAUGACGGCCUUCGGGUUGUAAACCGCUUUCGCCUGUGACGAAGCGUGAGUGACGGUAAUGGGUAAAGAAGCACCGGCUAACUACGUG